AUGUUUCCGGUAAGAGGGUGGGAGGAGGAAAGAAGCGGGUAUUACGCGCAGCCCAGUGACAGCUUAAGCCUUAACAUGCGGGCAUCUCACAAUGACCAUAAACAAGGGAGGGGCCAAGGCAGGGCCGGCGAUCAUUGGCUUUGUGCACAGAACGCCAGUUUUCCAUGGGCUAACAUGAGCAAAGCUGUUUUAGUACCUAAACGUGAUAUAGCCAAAUGCACAAAAGGAAAGAAGAUGGAGAUGACCUGCAUCUCACAAUGACCAUAAACAAGGGAGGGGCCAAGGCAGGGCCGGCGAUCAUUGGCUUUGUGCACAGAACGCCAGUUUUCCAUGGGCUAACAUGAGCAAAGCUGUUUUAGUACCUAAACGUGAUAUAGCCAAAUGCACAAAAGGAAAGAAGAUGGAGAUGACCUCCCGAGUUAUUUAUACCCUGUGCUAAAAUAGAUUCAUCUACAAGUAUCUAAAUGACAAAACUAGAAUGAUUUCAACCCAGUAAUCCCGUGUUCCAAUGUGCAUGGAUAAAGAUUUGAUCCAGGCCGGGCGCGAUGGCUCACGCCUGUAAUCCCAGCACUUUGGGAGGCUGAGGCAGGCGGAUCACAAGGUCAGGAGAUCGAGAUCAUCCUGGCUAACAUAGUGAAACCCGAUGUUUUAAAAAUACAAAAAUUAGCGUGUGCAGUGGCGAAGCCUUUAAUCCCAGCUACUCAGGAGGCUGAGGCAGGAGAAUGGCAGACCCGGAGGCCGGAGCUUGCAGAUCGCUACUGCACUCUAGCCUGGGUGACAGGCCGAGACUCCAUCUCAAAAAAAAAAAAAAAUUGAUCCGGCAAUGCUGAGGCGGGAGUCGCUCUGCCGCGCCAGGCUGGGUCUGAUGGCCGGAUCUCAGCUCACUGCAAGCUCCGCCUCCGGGUUCACCCUGCCUCCUUCCAGUAACUGGGACUGGGCGCCCACCACGUGGUUUUCUGUAUUUUUUAGUAGAAACGAGGGUUUCACGUGUAAUAAACCAGGAUGGUCUCGAUCUCUAUUCCCUAAAUGAUCAUGCGUCAACCUCCCAAAGUGCUGGGAUUACAGGCUUGACCACGGCCUGGCCAAAUAACUUUUUUGAGAUGGAGUCUCGCUCUGUUGCUGAGGCUGGAGUGUGGUGGCAUGAUCUCGCUCAUUGCAACCUCUGCCUCCCAGGUUCAAGCAAUUCUCCAGCCUCAGCCUCUCAAGUAGCUGGGAUCACAGGCACCCACCACUAGGCCAGGCUAAUUUUUGUAUUUUUAGUAGAGACGGGGUUUCACUAUGUUGGCCAGGCUGGUCUCGAACUCCUGACCUCAGGUGAUCCGCCCGCCUUGGCCUCCCAAAGUGCUGGGAUUACAGGGGUGAGCCACCAUGCCCAGCCUGCUCCAGCAAAUCUUAAAUACCCAUGCACAUUGAAUAAACAUGCACCUGAAACAGGUACACGUUUCAGAAAGUGAAUGGAACUCUCCAGAAGAGUUUGGGUCCCAUCAUGUGUACCUUAAAAACAGAAGUCUCAUCAACAUCCACAAAAACAUCUGUAUCUGUUUUCCAGAUACUUGCACCAAAAAUAAAACUUCACAGGAACACUACACAAGAAGUGGCAGACAGCUGAAUCUUCUCCAAACUGAGACCUGGACCAUAAGGUCUUGAUUCUAGCAGGUCUGGCAGGUGUAUCUACUAACCUGCACGCAGGGCACUGUGAGUGGGUUGCCAGGGCACAUCUGUGGCCAGGUAAGGGCCACAGAGAUAGUCGUGAUCCCAGCAGCUUCAAAGCUGCAAAAUGCUGGGCUUUUUUUUUAAGAUGGAGUCUUGCUCUAUUGCCUAGGCUGGAGUGUAGUGGUGUGAUCUCAGCUCACCACAACCUCCGCCUCCCAGGGUCAAGCAAUUCUCCUGCCUCAGCCUCCUGAGUAGCUGGGCUACAGGCACACACCACCAUGCCGUUAAUUUUUGUAUUUUCAGUAGAGACGGGGGUUUCACCAUGUUGGCCAAGCUGGUCUCGAACUCCUGACCUCAGGUAAUCCACACUCCUUGGCCUCCCAAAGUGCUGGGAUUACAGGCGUCAGCCACUGCGCCUGGCCUAGGGCUUUUUUUAAAAAAAAAAGUUCUAGCAAAGGGGCGUUUCUACCAGCCCCUGAGCCACACCUUCUGAAACUCCCUUGCCCAGGAUCCCCACAGCUGCCCACAUCGCAUGUCCCACUCUCUGCCCACAGAAACUGCCUAAAAGGAGGACACAACAGAUUUCAGAUAAAAAGCACCUGUGUAUCAUAAAUAUUUCAGGAAAAAUAAUUCAGCUCUUUUCAAAGGCUUGCUUAUUGCUGCUAAUUGUUCCUGAGAAUCUUUCUAAGCAGCAAUACACUUGAGAAUGUUAUUAGCUGCUACUGCUUGUUUUCCUUCUAACGUCCUGAGGAAACCAAAAGCAAAAUGAAACAAAAAACCCCUCAAGGCUAUAGCUUUUGUAUAUAGGCCUAGUGAGCAAACUGCAAAUUGAGACAAGGAACAGAUUCCGGAGCAAUCUCCAAUCCUUACACAGGUACUUCCUGGCAUCAAAUCCCCAGGACAUUUCUUGGCCCCUAAUUGCAUUUUCCUUUUCAAAAUGUUGAGGUUUAAAAUACAUACAACCGCAGAGGGGAGAAGAUCUCAGGUCUAGAAAUGGCGAUGUCUUCAUUUAGAAAUAGGACCGAUGGGAGCUUGGCAGGGGUCUCUAGGAUCCAAAAGAGGUUGAGUUGCAUCCUGCAGCCCAACUGUCCACAUUUAGAAGUGACAACAUUCAUGAACUAAGUCAACAUCCACCAAAAAUAACAAGGAAU
This is a long non-coding RNA of Papio anubis (olive baboon), 2804 nucleotides long. NCBI's taxonomy places the organism in Eukaryota, Metazoa, Chordata, Mammalia, Primates, Cercopithecidae. The record is from Ensembl.